This 406-nucleotide ribosomal RNA is filed under the name uncultured bacterium. Its description in RNAcentral is "partial 16S ribosomal RNA". It matches the Rfam family "Bacterial small subunit ribosomal RNA", at positions 355 to 777 of the family's 1533-position model. The record is from RNAcentral.
UGGGGAAUAUUGCACAAUGGGCGAAAGCCUGAUGCAGCAACGCCGCGUGAGUGAUGAAGGCCUUCGGGUUGUAAAGCUCUGUCUUUUGGGACGAUAAUGACGGUACCAAAGGAGGAAGCCACGGCUAACUACGUGCCAGCAGCCGCGGUAAUACGUAGGUGGCAAGCGUUGUCCGGAUUUACUGGGCGUAAAGGAUGCGUAGGCGGAUUUUUAAGUGAGAUGUGAAAUACCGGGCUUAACUUGGGUGCUGCAUUUCAAACUGGGAAUCUAGAGUGCGGGAGAGGAGAAUGGAAUUCCGUAGUGUAGCGGUGAAAGUGCGUAGAGAUUAGGAAGAACACCAGUGGCGAAGGCGAUUCUCUGGACCGUAACUGACGCUGAGGCAUGAAAGCGUGGGUAGCAAACAGGA